RNAcentral lists this ribosomal RNA (206 nucleotides) under uncultured bacterium. Its description in RNAcentral is "partial 16S ribosomal RNA". It matches the Rfam family "Archaeal small subunit ribosomal RNA", at positions 474 to 679 of the family's 1478-position model. The record is from RNAcentral.
UACCAGCACCCCGAGUGGUCGGGACGUUUAUUGGGCCUAAAGCAUCCGUAGCCGGUUCUACAAGUCUUCCGUUAAAUCCAGCUGCUUAACAGAUGGGCUGCGGAAGAUACUAUGGAGCUAGGAGGCGGGAGAGGCAAGCGGUACUCGAUGGGUAGGGGUAAAAUCCGUUGAUCCAUUGGAAGACCACCAGUGGCGAAGGCGGCUUG